AACGAACGCUAGCGGCAGGCCUAACACAUGCAAGUCGAGCGACACCUUCGGGUCUACUUGCUAACAGGUGCGUAACGCGUCGGAACCUGCCCUUAGGUGCGUGAUAACUCCCCGAAAGGGGGGGUAAUACCGUAUAAUGUCGGCGUACCAAAGAUUUCUCGCCUUUGGAUGGGCCCGCGUUGGAUUAGCUAGUUGGUAGGGUAAAAGCCUACCAAGGCGACGAUCCAUAGCUGGUCGGAGAGGAUGAUCAGCGACACUGGUACUGCGACACGGACCAGACUCGUACGGUAGGCAGUAGUGGGGAAUAUUGGACAAUGGGCGAAAGCCUGAUCCAGCAAUCCCGUGUGAGUGAUGAAGGUCUUAGGGUUGUAAAGCUCUUUUAACCGGGAUGAUAGUGCCAGUACCGUGAGAAUAAGCUCCGGCUAACUCCGUG
RNAcentral lists this ribosomal RNA (433 nucleotides) under uncultured bacterium. RNAcentral describes it as "partial 16S ribosomal RNA". It matches the Rfam family "Bacterial small subunit ribosomal RNA", at positions 29 to 507 of the family's 1533-position model. The record is from RNAcentral.